GGCGGCCGACAUGGAGGGGAGGGCGGCAGCCCGCGCAUAGCGGAGGGACUCACGCAGCCCACAUGGAGGGGAGUGGCAGUGCCGCCGGCACGGAGGGGAGGGACGGCGGCCCGCGCAUAGCGGAGGGACUCGCGCAGCCCACAUGGAGGGGAGUGGCAGUGCCCGCCAGCACGGAGGGGAGGGGCGGCGGUGGUCUGCACGGAUGGGAGAAGCAGCGGCAACCGACCUAGGAAUGGCGGUGGCGGUGGCACUGGAGGCAAAGGACGGCGGGUGAAAAAGAAUGAUAGGGAGGAAGAAGGCGGAGGGGCAAAAGCUUGGGAAGCUGGACCUGAGGAGCUUCUCCGCUUACGGUACAAACUCAGCUUUUGAAGUUUUUACUUUUAGAAGAAUCUAACCCCGUUUGGGGGGAGCUUUCUGAGGAAGCGAAAGCUGCUGGAAGCUCCCCCUAGCAGCUUCCCAAACAGGACCAUCAUGUUAUGUGUGCGUGCUUGAAUUUGUGCACCGAUGCGAGCGAAAAUCACAAAAAGAGAUUAACGAUUGGGACGACCUCGAAAUGCAAGGAAGAGAUGAACGUGAUCACGCAAACUGUGGGGCACCAUUUGCUCAAUCUGAUGAUGGCACGGUACAUGUACAUGGCACACAGGCACUUCUUUUUUCCCCUUGAAUUCUCGUACUAUUUUGGUUGACCCAGCACAUAUAAUUAACAGGCGCACGUAGAAAAUGUAUAGGAAGAGGAGUAAACCGUAAACGUUCCACCCACCUCGUCAGCCGUCUCCCCACCGGCCGCCCACGAACGCGCCCUUGAUCUUCCUGAAGAGCGCCUUGGGCGCGGCGAGCCAGCUGCCGGCGGCCCUGCGCGGGCGCCUCGCCACCCCGCGCCCGCCGGCGCCGUCCCCGUUCAGCAGCCGGUUCAGCCGCGCGACCAUCGCGUUGAGCUCGAACGAGUCGUACAGCGCCCCGCGCUGCCCGCCGACCGCCACGACGCCCAUGCCGCCGCCGCCGCCGCCGUCGCGCUCGGUGCCCCUUGGCUGCCCGCCGCGCCCGUGGCCGCCGCUCGCCUCGGUCGUCGUCGUCGCGCGCCCGGCGCCGCGGAGCUUGACGUCGUCGUCCGGAAACAUGCCCUGCCUCUGCGUAGACCGUAAAAGCUUUUACCUGGCGCUCGUUGCACUAGCAGUGUCUUUUACGGUGCGC
This 1191-nucleotide long non-coding RNA is filed under the name Setaria italica (foxtail millet). Its description in RNAcentral is "long non-coding RNA (SITA_LNC007324)". The record is from RNAcentral. Lineage: Eukaryota; Viridiplantae; Streptophyta; Magnoliopsida; Poales; Poaceae.